GAGUCAGAUUUUGGACAGUAUAGACAUGAUAUAGGCAUACAUUAUCAGUUAAUCACAUUUUUGCAUAUCAAGUUAUGAUACUUGCUGCUAGGUGAGCGUUUAGGCGGGCAGUCUAUGGGCUGAGUCCGUCAUGGUGUUGCGGCCUUGGCGUUGAGGCGCGGGGGUUGCGCCGGUCGUUGCCCUGGCAGUGGAGCCCCACUUUUGAAGUGCUGUUCGGCCUUCCUCCGGUGUUGAGAUGAUUACUGUCUCUCCGUUCCUGGUGGUGAUGAUUUUCAUCGGGAAUCCCCAUCUGUAUCUGAUGCCUUGAUUUCUCAU
Pelobates cultripes (western spadefoot toad) is the source of this 315-nucleotide non-coding RNA. Lineage: Eukaryota; Metazoa; Chordata; Amphibia; Anura; Pelobatidae. The record is from the annotation of a GenBank genome assembly.